GACGAACGCUGACGGCGUGCUUAACACAUGCAAGUCGAAGGGAGUGGCGAACGGGUGAGUAACACGUGAGUAACCUGCCCUUUUCGUUGGGAUAAGCCUGGGAAACUGGGUCUAAUACUGGAUGGAUUGGGAUGGGCUCGCGUCGUAUCAGCUGGUUGGUGGGGGGCUGGCUUACCAAGGCUUUGACGGGGAGCCGGCCUGAGAGGGUGGUCGGGCACACGGUGACUGAGAUACGGCCAAGACGCGUACGGGAGGGGGCAGUGGGGGAUAUUGCAAAAUGGAUGAAAGUCUGAUGCAGCGACGUCGUGUGGGGUAUGAGGGCCUUCGGGUUGUAAACUCCUUUCGCCCGCGGAAUGGUAGUGGGUAAAGAAGCGCCGGCUAACUACGUGCCAGCAGCCGCGGUAAUUC
Molecule: ribosomal RNA, 408 nt
Filed under: uncultured bacterium
Lineage: Bacteria
Description: partial 16S ribosomal RNA
Rfam family: Bacterial small subunit ribosomal RNA
Source: RNAcentral